GCUUGCUCUUAUGAAGUUAGCGGCGGACGGGUGAGUAACACGUGGGUAACCUGCCCAUAAGACUGGGAUAACUCCGGGAAACCGGGGCUAAUACCGGAUAACAUUUUGAACCGCAUGGUUCGAAAUUGAAAGGCGGCUUCGGCUGUCACUUAUGGAUGGACCCGCGUCGCAUUAGCUAGUUGGUGAGGUAACGGCUCACCAAGGCAACGAUGCGUAGCCGACCUGAGAGGGUGAUCGGCCACACUGGGACUGAGACACGGCCCAGACUCCUACGGGAGGCAGCAGUAGGGAAUCUUCCGCAAUGGACGAAAGUCUGACGGAGCAACGCCGCGUGAGUGAUGAAGGCUUUCGGGUCGUAAAACUCUGUUGUUAGGGAAGAACAAGUGCUAGUUGAAUAAGCUGGCACCUUGACGGUACCUAACCAGAAAGCCACGGCUAACUACGUGCCAGCAGCCGCGGUAAUACGUAGGUGGCAAGCGUUAUCCGGAAUUAUUGGGCGUAAAGCGCGCGCAGGUGGUUUCUUAAGUCUGAUGUGAAAGCCCACGGCUCAACCGUGGGAGGGUCAUUGGAAACUGGGAGACUUGAGUGCAG
This 591-nucleotide ribosomal RNA is filed under the name Bacillus sp. HPC338. RNAcentral describes it as "bacterial SSU rRNA". It matches the Rfam family "Bacterial small subunit ribosomal RNA", at positions 78 to 651 of the family's 1533-position model. The record is from RNAcentral. Lineage: Bacteria; Bacillati; Bacillota; Bacilli; Caryophanales; Bacillaceae.